Molecule: unclassified non-coding RNA, 331 nt
Filed under: soil metagenome
Description: partial contains 5.8S ribosomal RNA, internal transcribed spacer 2, and large subunit ribosomal RNA
Rfam family: 5.8S ribosomal RNA (bases 1-120)
Source: RNAcentral
GAUGAAGAACGUAGCGAAAUGCGAUACGUAAUGUGAAUUGCAGAUUUCAGUGAAUCAUCGAAUCUUUGAACGCACAUUGCGCCCGCUAGUAUUCUGGCGGGCAUGCCUGUUCGAGCGUCAUUUCAACCAUCAAGCCCUAGGCUUGCGCUGGAGCCCUGCGGCUGCCGCAGGCUCCCAAAUCCAGUGGCGGGCUCGUCGUCGUACCGAGUGCAGUAAACAUCCUCGCUCAGGGAACGUGACGGGUUCUUGCCGUGAAACCCCCCACAUAUCAAGGUUGACCUCGGAUCAGGUAGGAAUACCCGCUGAACUUAAGCAUAUCAUAAGCGGAGGA